This 1392-nucleotide ribosomal RNA is filed under the name Psychrobacter fozii. Its description in RNAcentral is "bacterial SSU rRNA". It matches the Rfam family "Bacterial small subunit ribosomal RNA". The record is from RNAcentral. Lineage: Bacteria; Pseudomonadati; Pseudomonadota; Gammaproteobacteria; Moraxellales; Moraxellaceae.
CAGUCGAGCGGAAACGAUGAUAGCUUGCUAUCAGGCGUCGAGCGGCGGACGGGUGAGUAAUACUUAGGAAUCUACCUAGUAGUGGGGGAUAGCACGGGGAAACUCGUAUUAAUACCGCAUACGACCUACGGGAGAAAGGGGGCAGUUUACUGCUCUCGCUAUUAGAUGAGCCUAAGUCGGAUUAGCUAGAUGGUGGGGUAAAGGCCUACCAUGGCGACGAUCUGUAGCUGGUCUGAGAGGAUGAUCAGCCACACCGGGACUGAGACACGGCCCGGACUCCUACGGGAGGCAGCAGUGGGGAAUAUUGGACAAUGGGGGAAACCCUGAUCCAGCCAUGCCGCGUGUGUGAAGAAGGCCUUUUGGUUGUAAAGCACUUUAAGCAGUGAAGAAGACUCCGUGGUUAAUACCCACGGACGAUGACAUUAGCUGCAGAAUAAGCACCGGCUAACUCUGUGCCAGCAGCCGCGGUAAUACAGAGGGUGCAAGCGUUAAUCGGAAUUACUGGGCGUAAAGGGAGCGUAGGUGGCUCGAUAAGUCAGAUGUGAAAUCCCCGGGCUCAACCUGGGAACUGCAUCUGAUACUGUUGAGCUAGAGUAUGUGAGAGGAAGGUAGAAUUCCAGGUGUAGCGGUGAAAUGCGUAGAGAUCUGGAGGAAUACCGAUGGCGAAGGCAGCCUUCUGGCAUAAUACUGACACUGAGGCUCGAAAGCGUGGGUAGCAAACAGGAUUAGAUACCCUGGUAGUCCACGCCGUAAACGAUGUCUACUAGUCGUUGGGUCCCUUGAGGACUUAGUGACGCAGCUAACGCAAUAAGUAGACCGCCUGGGGAGUACGGCCGCAAGGUUAAAACUCAAAUGAAUUGACGGGGGCCCGCACAAGCGGUGGAGCAUGUGGUUUAAUUCGAUGCAACGCGAAGAACCUUACCUGGUCUUGACAUAUCUAGAAUCCUGCAGAGAUGCGGGAGUGCCUUCGGGAAUUAGAAUACAGGUGCUGCAUGGCUGUCGUCAGCUCGUGUCGUGAGAUGUUGGGUUAAGUCCCGCAACGAGCGCAACCCUUGUCCUUAGUUACCAGCGGGUUAAGCCGGGAACUCUAAGGAUACUGCCAGUGACAAACUGGAGGAAGGCGGGGACGACGUCAAGUCAUCAUGGCCCUUACGACCAGGGCUACACACGUGCUACAAUGGUAGGUACAGAGGGCAGCUACACAGCGAUGUGAUGCGAAUCUCAAAAAGCCUAUCGUAGUCCAGAUUGGAGUCUGCAACUCGACUCCAUGAAGUAGGAAUCGCUAGUAAUCGCGGAUCAGAAUGCCGCGGUGAAUACGUUCCCGGGCCUUGUACACACCGCCCGUCACACCAUGGGAGUUGAUUGCACCAGAAGUGGAUAGCUUAACCUCGG